GUCGCAUGCCCGUGAUUUUAUUACCAUCCCAUUACCAACUCACAACGUUGUCAGUACGUCCUUCCAACGUGACCAGACAACCAAGAACGUCCCAGAUAGGUUCUCUAUUCGUAAUAUAUUGGUAACUUCAUGACUUACUGGAAACGUAACUACAACGUCCGUAUGCACGUAAUUUCACUACCAUAACUUUUGUACGUUCUUUAUAUGCUCUCUGGGUAUAGUGCUAUUUAAAAAUUGUAAUUAAACUUCAGACACAAGAUUAAACGUUCCUUAAAGAUAAAAUGUGUUUCUUUUCACCAAGUCAGAAUAUGGACAUGUUUUCAUAUAUAGUGACGUGACAUACAGCGCGCGCCGCUUCCACAGCUGACACGCGGCGCGCGCGCACAGUUAUUGACAAGAAAGGAAAUACAUUUUUCGGAGUUGUGAAACUUUCUAUUUUUGUAAGGAGUUAUGAACGUGAAAUAAUGACACAGACUGGCUACACGAUCUCAUCUGCCGCAGAUACUGUAUCAGGAGGACAGCGCGUCUGUUUGAGGCACUUUUCACUUCAACUGUGUCUGACGGGAGAAUUAGCUUUUCUGAGCCUACUAGCCGCUGAGAGUUGCCAUGGCAACCGCGGACACAUCAGCUGCUGGAGAGGAGAGGACUCUGACACUUUCUCUGUUUCUCGUCAGUUAUACCAAAGAAAAGUUCAAUAACUGCGACAGAUUGUUUGUUUAUUUCUAAUAAGGAGUUGGAGGCCGUGGGAGAAGCAGAUCCG
Molecule: long non-coding RNA, 760 nt
Organism: Cyprinus carpio (common carp)
Lineage: Eukaryota; Metazoa; Chordata; Actinopteri; Cypriniformes; Cyprinidae
Exons: 3
Source: RefSeq, a predicted model, not a curated record